Molecule: ribosomal RNA, 82 nt
Filed under: Enterococcus faecalis
Lineage: Bacteria; Bacillati; Bacillota; Bacilli; Lactobacillales; Enterococcaceae
Also listed under: 5 other names
Source: RNAcentral
UGGUGGCGAUAGCGAGAAGGAUACACCUGUUCCCAUGCCGAACACAGAAGUUAAGCUUCUUAGCGCCGAUUGUAGUGAAGGG